Phycodurus eques (leafy seadragon) is the source of this 3152-nucleotide long non-coding RNA. RefSeq lists it as uncharacterized. The transcript has 3 exons. NCBI's taxonomy places the organism in Eukaryota, Metazoa, Chordata, Actinopteri, Syngnathiformes, Syngnathidae. The record is from RefSeq and is a predicted model, not a curated record.
CAGAUAUGAUUCAUCAGGCUAAUUGUUCUGACCGUGAGUACAUCUAAGUAUAAAGGACACCUGUCCACAACCCAAAACAGUCCCACUCCAAAGCCCACUAUGGCCAAGACCAAAGAGCUGUCAAAGGAAACCAGAAGCAAAAUUGUGACCUGCAUCAGGCUGGGACCGAAUCUGCAAUCGGCAGAUAUGAAAGGGAGGAGAAAUGGUUGUCUGGAAUGCGCAAGGAAAAUCUGAAAAGUCUGACGAGUACUCAGGGACAGAGAAGAGGCUGGACUCUUUACCUCUGGAGGGGUCUGCUGGCUGAGGAUGCACCACCUCAGUGUACUCCACAUCAGGCUCAUUGGACACCAUGCUGCUCUCCUCAUCAUUGGCUGCAUUGGAACAUGAAUAAAAGUCAUUUAAAAAAAAUCUCCUGACCUAACAACCUACUUUUACAACCUAAAUUCUAAAUAUUUGUUCCAUGAAAUUGUGCUUAUUCAUUCCCAUCAGUCUACUCCCGUAGCAGUUUUGUUGGAUGCACUGCUUCCAGUACGUGUAUGGGGAUGUUAGAUUUUGUUUUUGUCCAGUCAGAUUUGAGCAUCUAUGUCAGUGUAUUCCGUCCAGGGCCUUCAGAGUCAGUAGUGCUGGCUGAUGUAAUUUACACUAUAUUAGCAAUGGGACUGUUCCUUUAACUAAUCAGGUUUCAAAUUUGUCUUCACAGGACCAGCCUGACACCCGCGGCGCCAGUGAGCUGGCCCCCGAUGACGGCAGCAUUUGUCCGUCCUCUGAUUGGUUGGAAGUUCAUUCCGCAAUGAAGGCCCACGUAGCAAAUGCAUGAACCACCACUGUAAACAAAAGUCACAACGCAUUCUUCAUCUAAAGCAACAUUCAUACACAAACCUCUGGUUACCGUACCAUGUGCCUUUUAACAUAUCUAAUAUUAAUAUCUUUUGUUCCCAAUGUAUCCAUUUUGGUACCUUCCCACUUUGUGUCACCUUAGCAGUUAAACCUUCAGGAAACAAAAUCUCUCAGGCUUCAUUGCCAUCAGGCCUUACCUUUACAAUGACGAUGACAAUAUAGGCUGACAUGCUCACCUGUUUCAGGCGGCCGCUCGCUCCACACGCUGAUAUCUACUCUCUCCACUUUACCUGUGCAGACGAAAUAGACACACAGUGAGACUAAGCGUAGUUGGACAGAAUAUCUGAUGCAGGGAGAACCUAUAGGGACAUACUGCAACAGGUCAUCAAAAGCCCAGUUUACAGAGCCACACGUUUGAAUAUCAUCUGUUUCAUAUGAAAUGCAGCCUGCCGAGGAUUGAUUUAGCUUAGCAUAACGUGGCUGAAAAAAGUAGAAAUGUUCCAAUCCAAGUAUUUUGCUUUAUUCAGGCAAUUUUAAAUGUUUUCAAAUUACAGUAUGCUCUUCAAACAGUAAUUGUUGGAUCCAUGAUCUCGAGUAUGUUUAUCGCCAAAUUAAUUUGAUUAGAUUUUAACAACAUCUCAAUGUGUUCACUCGACCAGCUGACUGUGUUACGUUGUGUAAAUUGUCUUCCUUUAGUACAUUAGAUUAUGUUUACACAACUGCGUUGCUUAUCCCCAGCUGGUAAUGUAAUCUCACGUUGCUUAAAUAAGGUUUAUGAGAUUAAUUUCCUUCGCAUGCUACGCACAUUCAAACCAACAAAAGCUGUUUUGUGUCAACAUAGGAAGUUUCGCGCAGACUCCAUUGUUUCACUUUGUAAAGGAAGUCACUGUAGUGCAUUCCUUUUUGGGAAAGGAAUCAAGUUAGUGUUAGAUUUGCCCAUAGUCUUGCUUUGGCCUUAUGUAGGACAUAAUGCAUGAUGAUAAGAUAAUCUUUCUUUCGAAGCAUUUUUGUAAAUCAAUUUAGUGUUAUAUGCAGUAGUUGCAGCAAAUGAAUGGGGAUGACACGCAUCUAAAUAGAACCAAUUUAUUUAUUCUAAAAGGAUUUGAGCAAGCCAAGGAAUCAACCAAAAUAUAUACACACAUUUCCUACGAUAGUGAUAAAAGGGAUCUGAAAAUCAAACAGUCAACAAUGAUGCUCAAACAUGUCCCAACAUUGCAAAAACAUGCACCUGCGGACGAGCAUACAAAGAAGCACAGGACAAAGACAGUGAUGUUAAAUAAAAAUAAAAUAUAAAAAAAUCGAGAAAAACAAAGGCCAUCUAGAUUGCAGGGGGAGGGGAGAGGGAGCAGCAGGAGACGAGUCAUUGCUCUUGUAACACAUCCCUCGACAUGUGGGACGAAAGGUUCCUUUUGUUGGUGUUUCUUUGAAUGUUUUUGUUCUGUUUUACAAGUGUCUCCCCGCCCCUUGCAAAGCAGGGCGUCUCUACACUGUGGCUGGGAUACUGAAGCUGCUCCUGUUGCUGAUGUCAGUGGGAAGCGACACCGCGCUAGCUCGUGUCCCAUUGGUCACCCUCCCCUCCAUGCCAUCAUAGUGUGGCACUCCGUCUGGAACAAGAUGAUAAUGGGCGCUCUAAACAGUUUGCAGCAUUUGACAAUGUCAUUCACUAAUAUUCAACUCUAAGCAGCUUCUUCCUGCUUGGCGAGACACUGUCCCUACAACAAUUCCUGUUUUGGUUGCCUCAGGAAUAGACAGAGAGAGACAAUGUACAUGCAAAAUGUCAGCAACUAAACACUUUCAUGUAACACUGAGCAACAACAAAACAUGUUUAUGUUAAACAAAGGUUACAACAAUGUCACCCCUGCAUGCAUAUUAGAACAUGGAUGAUGGAGUGAGGAUGGAUCGCAAUGGCUACCACACACAACAUGCUAUGAAAGGACUCGUGUUUGGAUUAAUGACUGAUGAAGAUAGCCAGUGGAGCACAAUUAAAAAAAAAGUAAAACACAAUCUACCUGGGGCUGCAUUAUUAACCUCUGUGUCGCGGGUUAGACUCACUGUUAAAGAGUCAUCUGAUUUAGGGCUCGAAGGCUUUCUGAGAAAUGGUGAGAAUAAAGUCAACUGGACGAACUCUAAAAGAUGUCAGAUCAUCCGAAGUCUACAAAAUGUCAGAAGAGAACAAUACUGGAAAUGUUGUGUGUUGGAACCUAUUGAGAUCAAGCUGCUUGAAACGUUUGUCACGACACAUAAGGAUAUGUGUCUUUUAAAAAAAAAAAAAAAAAACUACACGCAGAAUUACACUUCUAGAGGUCAUAGACUCC